UACGAGUGCCCCAAGCGUUAUCCGGAAUUAUUGGGCGUAAAGGGUGUGUAGGCGGUUUUGUUAGUCUAAUGUUAAAGCUUCGGGCUCAACCCGAAAAGUGCAUUGGAAACGGCAAAUCUAGAGGAUGCGAGAGGUGAACAGAACUCAUAGUGUAGGGGUAAAAUCCGUUGAUAUUAUGGGGAAUACCAAAUGCGAAGGCAGUUCACUGGCGCACUCCUGACGCUGAAACACGAAAGCGUGGGUAGCGAAUGGG
Molecule: ribosomal RNA, 253 nt
Filed under: uncultured bacterium
Lineage: Bacteria
Description: partial 16S ribosomal RNA
Rfam family: Bacterial small subunit ribosomal RNA
Source: RNAcentral